AUAACCCUACGAGGUACGAAUCACUUGAGUUUUAUUUAGAACCAACAUUCUAAGAUUUGGGAGUCUGGACUCUUGAUAUGGUGUGCAUGCUUACAUUUAUGUAAGAAGCCCGGUAGUAUUAAGGAGGACACCCACCUGUGUAAGCAGGCUCUUAAAUUCGCUCAUAUGAACGGCUUAUGUGGGGUUUUA
Molecule: non-coding RNA, 189 nt
Filed under: Clostridia bacterium
Lineage: Bacteria; Bacillati; Bacillota; Clostridia
Description: 6S RNA
Rfam family: 6S / SsrS RNA
About the family: E. coli 6S RNA was the first non coding RNA to be sequenced, but its function was unknown until recently. It consists of 184 nucleotides that fold into an extended hairpin structure with a large single-stranded internal bulge.
Source: RNAcentral